AUUAAAUUUUGCAGUUCACUUGGAUACACAGGGUAGAGCCCUGGAGGCAUUAACUGCUGUUUCCCAAUGCAGACCGACUAUCCUCCCCUCCGCAUAGCUAACAGCCCACGUGAAGACUCUGACCGCUGAGAGCAUGUCCUCUUUCUUCAGUCACCUUGCUGUCUGUGACAACUCAUGCAUGCAGUGGUCGCAGCAUGGCCGUGGAGUGGAAGUGGAGGUCCGCCAGCCCCUCUUCUGCUGGUGCCUGGGCAUUCGCCUGCGGAGAGCAGUGGAGGUGGUCAUACCAGAGCAGCAGUUGGGGAAGGCAGCCUCGUGGCCUGCAGGGGACAGGACGUGGGCUGCAUGA
RNAcentral lists this long non-coding RNA (346 nucleotides) under Ictidomys tridecemlineatus (thirteen-lined ground squirrel). RNAcentral describes it as "lncRNA (ENSSTOG00000033533.1)". Lineage: Eukaryota; Metazoa; Chordata; Mammalia; Rodentia; Sciuridae. The record is from RNAcentral.